This 253-nucleotide ribosomal RNA is filed under the name uncultured bacterium. RNAcentral describes it as "partial 16S ribosomal RNA". It matches the Rfam family "Bacterial small subunit ribosomal RNA", at positions 524 to 776 of the family's 1533-position model. The record is from RNAcentral.
UACGUAGGCAGCAAGCGUUGUUCGGAGUUACUGGGCGUAAAGGGUGCGUAGGCGGCUUUUUAAGUUUGGUGUGAAAUCUCCCGGCUCAACUGGGAGGGUGCGCCGAAUACUGAGAGGCUAGAGUGUGGGAGAGGAAAGUGGAAUUCCUAGUGUAGCGGUGAAAUGCGUAGAUAUCAGGAGGAACACCGGUGGUGUAAACGGCUUUCUGGACCAUAACUGACGCUGAGGCACGAAAGCGUGGGUAGCAAACAGG